UCCACAUCGCCCCCUGGAGGGCGUCGUCCUUCUAACGCGUUGAAGGAGCCGAUCGAUGAACGAGGAGCAGAUUCAUGGAAGUAACCCUUCUAGAGGAACGCACCGCUGCUAGGGAUUGAGAAGACUCUCCCUCCUACAGAGAACACAGAGACACUGAGGAACCAGGCUUGAACAAGAAGGCAAAGCCAGGAUAAAGAGAUCGUGAACUGUGGCUUCAUCACGGCAUAUUGGAUGAAACGAGCUGCUGCUGGAAACACUGAGACUGAACCAAACAGGGAAUGAGCUGAAGCACCAAAACUAGGAGCUAAUAGAGGCUAACCAGCUG
Gasterosteus aculeatus aculeatus (three-spined stickleback) is the source of this 325-nucleotide long non-coding RNA. The record is from Ensembl. Lineage: Eukaryota; Metazoa; Chordata; Actinopteri; Perciformes; Gasterosteidae.